AUUGAACGCUGGCGGCAUGCCUUACACAUGCAAGUCGAACGGCAGCACGGGUGCUUGCCCCUGGUGGCGAGUGGCGAACGGGUGAGUAAUACAUCGGAACAUGUCCUGUAGUGGGGGAUAGCCCGGCGAAAGCCGGAUUAAUACCGCAUACGAUCUACGGAUGAAAGCGGGGGACCUUCGGGCCUCGCGCUAUAGGGUUGGCCGAUGGCUGAUUAGCUAGUGGGUGGGGUAAAGGCCUACCAAGGCGACGAUCAGUAGCUGGUCUGAGAGGACGACCAGCCACACUGGGACUGAGACACGGCCCAGACUCCUACGGGAGGCAGCAGUGGGGAAUUUUGGACAAUGGGCGAAAGCCUGAUCCAGCAAUGCCGCGUGUGUGAAGAAGGCCUUCGGGUUGUAAAGCACUUUUGUCCGGAAAGAAAUCCUUGGCCCUAAUACGGUCGGGGGAUGACGGUACCGGAAGAAUAAGCACCGGCUAACUACGUG
Molecule: ribosomal RNA, 486 nt
Filed under: uncultured bacterium
Lineage: Bacteria
Description: partial 16S ribosomal RNA
Rfam family: Bacterial small subunit ribosomal RNA
Source: RNAcentral